RNAcentral lists this ribosomal RNA (435 nucleotides) under Dermacentor silvarum. Its description in RNAcentral is "partial 16S ribosomal RNA". The stretch from base 290 to 435 matches the Rfam family "Bacterial large subunit ribosomal RNA", at positions 2473 to 2619 of the family's 2925-position model. Lineage: Eukaryota; Metazoa; Arthropoda; Arachnida; Ixodida; Ixodidae. The record is from RNAcentral.
CCGGUCUGAACUCAGAUCAUAUUGUAAUAAGGUUUUAAUUGAAUGCUAAAAGAAUGGAAUUACAGGGAAAAGUUUUUUUAAAUUUAAUAAUUGAAGUUAUUUUAAUUUGUGAAGAAACAAUUAUAUAAAUUAAAGACAAGAAGACCCUAAGAAUUUAAGAAUUUUUAUUAAUAUAUUAUAUAUAUAUAUAUAAAUAAAAUUCUUAGUUGGGGCAACUAAAAAAUAUAUUAAACUUUUUUUUUAAAAAAAAGACCCAUUAUUAAUGAUAAUAUGAAAAAAAUACUCUAGGGAUAACAGCGUAAUAAUUUUUGAUAGAUCUUAUAGACAAAAUAGUUUGCGACCUCGAUGUUGGAUUAGGAUACUUUUUUAAUGAAGAUGUUAAAAAAAGAAGUUUGUUCAACUUUUAAAUUCCUACAUGAUCUGAGUUUAGACCGA